RNAcentral lists this ribosomal RNA (1242 nucleotides) under metagenome. RNAcentral describes it as "bacterial LSU rRNA". It matches the Rfam family "Bacterial large subunit ribosomal RNA", at positions 1564 to 2814 of the family's 2925-position model. The record is from RNAcentral.
UGAAUACGAGAUGCUACGGCGUCGAAGCAGUCUAUGUCAUACUUCCAAGAAAAGCUUGCACUGUCAUAAACAAAUAAUGCCUGUACCAUAACCGACACAGGUGGGUAGGUAGAGUAUACUAAGGGGCGCGAGAUAACUCUCUCUAAGGAACUCGGCAAAAUGACUCCGUAACUUCGGGAGAAGGAGUGCCUUAUUUUAUAAGGUUGCAAUAACAAGAUCCAAGCAACUGUUUACCAAAAACACAGGUCUCCGCUAAGUCGUAAGACGAUGUAUGGGGGCUGACGCCUGCCCAGUGCCAGAAGGUUAAAGAAGUUGGUUAGCAUCCGCGAAGCUGAUAACUGAAGCCCUGGUGAACGGCGGCCGUAACGAUAACGGUCCUAAGGUAGCGAAAUUCCUUGUCGGGUAAGUUCCGACCCGCACGAAAGGCGUAAUGAUUUGGAUACUGUCUCAGAGAGGGGCUCGGUGAAAUAGACUUGUCUGUGAAGAUGCGGACUACCUGCACCAGGACAGAAAGACCCUAUGAAGCUUUACUGUAACUUGAAAUUGAAAUUGGACUUUACUUGCGCAGUAUAGGUGGGAGGCGUUGAGAACAUUCUUGCGGGAAUGUUGGAGCCAUCAGUGAGAUACCACUCUUGUAAUGUUAGAUUUCUAACUUUGUAUCAUUAUCUGGUCAAAGGACAGUUUCAGGCGGGCAGUUUGACUGGGGCGGUCGCCUCCCAAACGGUAACGGAGGCGCACAAAGGUUUCCUCUGAACGGGUAGAAAUCGCAUCUAGAGUGUAAAGGCAUAAAGAAGCUUGACUGUGAGACCUACAAGUCGAGCAGGGACGAAAGUCGGUCUUAGUGAUCUGACGGUGCUGAGUGGAAAGGCCGUCACUCAACGGAUAAAAGUUACUCUAAGGAUAACAGGCUGAUCUCCCCCAAGAGUUCACAUCGACGGGGAGGUUUGGCACCUCGAUGUCGGCUCAUCGCAUCCUGGGGCGGUAGUACGUCCCAAGGGUUGGGCUGUUCGCCCAUGAAAGCGGUACGCGAGCUGGGUUCAGAACGUCGUGAGACAGUUCGGUCCAUAUCCGGUGUAGGCGUUAGAAUAUUGAGAGGAGCCUUCUUUAGUACGAGAGGACCGAGAAGGACAUACCUCUGGUGUACCAGUUAUCGUGCCAACGGUAAACGCUGGGUAGCUAUGUAUGGAGUGGAUAACCGCUGAAAGCAUCUAAGUGGGAAGCCCACCUCAAGAUAAGUAUUCU